UACGAAGGGGGCUAGCGUUGCUCGGAAUCACUGGGCGUAAAGCGCACGUAGGCGGCUUGUUAAGUCAGGGGUGAAAUCCUGGAGCUCAACUCCAGAACUGCCUUUGAUACUGGCGAGCUUGAGUCCGGGAGAGGUGAGUGGAACUGCGAGUGUAGAGGUGAAAUUCGUAGAUAUUCGCAAGAACACCAGUGGCGAAGGCGGCUCACUGGCCCGGUACUGACGCUGAGGCUCGAAAGCGUGGGGAGCAAACAGG
This 253-nucleotide ribosomal RNA is filed under the name uncultured bacterium. RNAcentral's name for it is "partial 16S ribosomal RNA". It matches the Rfam family "Bacterial small subunit ribosomal RNA", at positions 524 to 776 of the family's 1533-position model. The record is from RNAcentral.